RNAcentral lists this long non-coding RNA (788 nucleotides) under Oreochromis niloticus (Nile tilapia). RNAcentral's name for it is "lncRNA (ENSONIG00000031530.1)". The record is from RNAcentral. Lineage: Eukaryota; Metazoa; Chordata; Actinopteri; Cichliformes; Cichlidae.
GUUCCCAGUGGCUUCCACUUUGUUAUAAUGACACUAACAGUUGACUGUAGAAUAUUUAGCAGGAAGGAAAUUUCAUGACUGGACUUGUUGCACAGGUGGCAUCCUAUCACGGUACUAUGCUGGAAUUCACUGAGCUCCUGAGAGCGACCCAUUUCACAAAUGUUUGUAGAAGCAACCUGUAUGCCUAGGUGCUUCAUUUUAUACUCCUGUGGCCAUGGAAGUGAUUGGAACACCUGAAUUCAAUGAUUUAGAUGGGUGAGUAAAUAGUUUUGGCAAUAUAGUCAGUCUCUGUGUAAGCUUUCAAUCAGCCAAGUUCAAGUGCUUACCAUGACUGGUAGGCACUGAAUUGAACGCAACUGGACUUUUUUCCUAUGUUGUUUUUCACUUUUCAUCUGAGAAGCUCAUACAGUUCUAAUGGGGAGUACUAGGUAUAUAGUGAGGUGGUCCAUGUGAGCCAGGUGACCUUGAUAACUCAGAUGAUGACAGAGAUUGUCCAACUCUUCAGAACACCUGGUUCUCCCAUCAGAUUCUCAGGUGAAAGCUGAAAUGUUUUUAUGAAUGUAGAAAGAAGUCCAGUUGGCUUGGACUCAUGUCGAGCUCAUUUCUUCACACAGUGGGCUAAACUGAAGCCAAGCUGCUUGAAAGAGAUCGAAUUCCCAGGUCAUCACCAAAUUUUGCCCUGAUGAUGCAAACGAACACACACAGACUUAAGCACACUGCAAACAUACUGAGAAAGAGCAUGGAGGGCACAGAUUUAAAAAUAAAGCAGUGGUGUAACUAAUAGCAGU